GAGGGUACAGCUCAAGUGGUAGAGCACAUGCUUAGCAUGCACAACGUCCUGGGUUCAAUCCCCAGUACCUCCU
RNAcentral lists this transfer RNA (73 nucleotides) under Camelus bactrianus (Bactrian camel). It matches the Rfam family "tRNA". Rfam says of the family: Transfer RNA (tRNA) molecules are approximately 80 nucleotides in length. Their secondary structure includes four short double-helical elements and three loops (D, anti-codon, and T loops). RNAcentral also lists the same sequence under 1 other name. The record is from Rfam by way of RNAcentral. Lineage: Eukaryota; Metazoa; Chordata; Mammalia; Artiodactyla; Camelidae.